This 441-nucleotide ribosomal RNA is filed under the name uncultured bacterium. Its description in RNAcentral is "partial 16S ribosomal RNA". It matches the Rfam family "Bacterial small subunit ribosomal RNA", at positions 338 to 795 of the family's 1533-position model. The record is from RNAcentral.
CCUACGGGCGGCAGCAGUGGGGAAUAUUGCACAAUGGGGGAAACCCUGAUGCAGCGACGCCGCGUGAGCGAGGAAGUAUUUCGGUACGUAAAGCUCUAUCAGCAGGGACGAAAAAAGACGGUACCUGACUAAGAAGCCCCGGCUAACUACGUGCCAGCAGCCGCGGCAAUACGUAGGGGGCAAGCGUUAUUCGGAUUUACUGGGGGUAAAGGGAGCGUAGACGGGCAAGCAAGCCAGAAGUGAAAGGGCAGGGCUCAACCCUGUACAUGCUUUUGGAACUGGGGUGCUAGAGUGCAGAAGAGGAGAGUGGAAUUCCUAGUGUAGCGGUGAAAUGCGUAGAUAUUAGGAGGAACACCAGUGGCGAAGGCGGCUUACUGGACUGUAACUGACGUUGAGGCUCGAAAGCGUGGGGAGCAAACAGGAUUAGAUACCCUUGUAGUC